GGGGCUGUGGAAGAUGAUACUACAAGAAUCCUCUCCUCUGAUGAUUUUGAAUCCGUAUGGCGGAAUGAUGAGCAGGAUUUCCGAAAGCGCAAUAGCUUUUCCUCACAGAAAUGUUCUCUUCAAAAUUCAGUACGUGACUUUAUGGCAAGCUGGAGAUAACGAGGCACAGCAUAUGGAUUGGAUUAGGAAGCUUUACAAUUACAUGGGUUCUUAUGUCACAAAGUUUCCAAGGCAGGCAUAUGUGAAUUAUAGGGAUCUUGAUUUGGGGACUAACAAGAAGAGUAGCUCAAGUUUCAUUAAAGCAAGUUCUUGGGGUUACAGGUAUUUCAAGGACAAUUUUAAUAGACUGGUUAAAAUAAAGACCAAAGCCGAUCCUCAAAACUUCUUCCGGCAUGAGCAGAGCAUCCCGCCUCUUCCACGAGGCCGUUACUAGAGAUCGCUAGGAGCUAUAGAUUGUUUUUUGCAGGAGGUUAAGGCUUCGGCCGGUUUGAUUAGUGUGUUUUGUUUAAGCUUACUGUUUAACCAAUUUUAUACAAUGAAAUAAAAUAGUUUAAAGAAUAAUAAUCUGCUUUGCUUAAUUUUUUUUUUUGUCAAAAAAAGAAAAAAACUUUUGAGUUUUGCUUAAUUGAUUCCAAGGGUUGUAACAACUUUUGAUCUUUCCUUUUCAGACUGAUCAUUAAUGAAGAAAUGGGAAAUUUCAGUUUCUAUAUGCUUUAAUUUACUUGUAGUUACUUUUCUUUAUUUUUUCUUUUAUUACAAGCAAUAUUACUAUUCUAAGUUAGAGUAAGAGGAGACGAGAGAGUUUGAAUGUGGGACGUAGUGGGUAAAUGAGGAAAAUCAUAUAUUUACCACUUUGCGAUUAGCUUUCUGUUACUAAUUGUUGGUAGAUUUUAAGAGAGAAAUUGAAGUAUAUAUAAAGCAGCUCGUAGAAGCAUUUGCAGUGAAAGCAAACCUCAGGUUCAACAACACGAAUGUAAAGAUCCAAUACAUCGUUACACCAGACAAUAUGAUCAGCCCAACACUAUUCCUUUUGGGAUGCAAGUACAGCCAAUGAGGAACCCCAAAGUUGCUAUCCGAAUUUAAAUGUGUUAUAUAAAUAAAAAUUUAAAUAAUGAAUAAGAGAUUCUAUCUUUGAUGAAGAUUAGUGUUUGCUAAAAGACAAGCAUAAACCAUUUCCCAAAACAAUAAACUUAUAGUAGGGUGAAUCUAUUACAUUUUACCAGUAAACGAUACUACAAAAGACUAAGCAGUUUGGAGUAAGAUUAUUUUCCUUCCUAUUCUCAUUUUCUUCAUUCCCCUCCUUUCAUAUAUAUUUUUUUUCUUAUUGUUUCUAUAAAAAAAUCAAUACAAAAUAUUGAUGUGGCUUAACCAUAACCGUUCAAAUAGGAUAUGAGAGAAGUACAAAGAGAUUAUGAGGAGAGAAAAUACCUGCUGCAGAAUAGGAACAAAACUAGAAGGAAUAUCGGCUGACUUGGCUAAACUCUGCUUAUGUAAAUGUGGAACAUAUGGUGUAACUUGUAUCAUUGCACCCUGGAAUUGUUGGCCGGCUGCUGGUUGGACAAAAUACGAAAUUAACAAAUAACAAAGAAUGUCACUGGAUAGUGGAUAUGGAAAUUAAAUAAGACGAAAGGGAGGAUUGAGGAGAGGAGAUUCAGUCUUGAGUCUGGGAGAGUCUUCAAAAAAGUGAACUGGGUGAGGUCUGCUUUAAAGCUCGUGAAACACGUUGCUUAAAACUCAAAGCCCGCGUCAUGCAAAAUCAAAUAAACUCAUGCUUAAUUGCUAAAUAACUAUUCUCUAAAUAAAAUAUAAUGUUAAUUAUUGUAACUAAUUCAUGUUGGAAAACUAGGAGUAUAUAAUAUUAACAAGUAUCCCAGAUUACAUAUAUUCAACUACGUGUGAUACCUGAAGUAGCCAUGCUUUUGGUUGGAAAUGCAAUUCUUCUACUUGUUUAAGACCUUAUGUUCCAAAGGUGAUAGAACCCUC
This 1983-nucleotide long non-coding RNA is filed under the name Malus domestica (apple). Its description in RNAcentral is "long non-coding RNA (MDOM_LNC005308)". Lineage: Eukaryota; Viridiplantae; Streptophyta; Magnoliopsida; Rosales; Rosaceae. The record is from RNAcentral.